RNAcentral lists this microRNA precursor (61 nucleotides) under Drosophila erecta. RNAcentral's name for it is "microRNA der-mir-2499 precursor". The record is from miRBase by way of RNAcentral. Lineage: Eukaryota; Metazoa; Arthropoda; Insecta; Diptera; Drosophilidae.
CGUGCGUUUAUGUCAGCGCAAUGCUUUUGUUUGGCGGCAUGCGGAUGGCAUACACGUCCAC